UACGUAGGUGGCAAGCGUUGUCCGGAAUUAUUGGGCGUAAAGCGCGCGCAGGUGGUUUCUUAAGUCUGAUGUGAAAGCCCACGGCUCAACCGUGGAGGGUCAUUGGAAACUGGGGAACUUGAGUGCAGAAGAGGAAAGUGGAAUUCCAAGUGUAGCGGUGAAAUGCGUAGAGAUUUGGAGGAACACCAGUGGCGAAGGCGGAUCUCUGGGCCUGUCCUGACGCUCAGGCGCGAAAGCUAGGGGAGCAAACAGG
This 253-nucleotide ribosomal RNA is filed under the name uncultured bacterium. RNAcentral's name for it is "partial 16S ribosomal RNA". It matches the Rfam family "Bacterial small subunit ribosomal RNA", at positions 524 to 776 of the family's 1533-position model. The record is from RNAcentral.